This 468-nucleotide ribosomal RNA is filed under the name uncultured bacterium. Its description in RNAcentral is "partial 16S ribosomal RNA". It matches the Rfam family "Bacterial small subunit ribosomal RNA", at positions 28 to 507 of the family's 1533-position model. The record is from RNAcentral.
GACGAACGCUGGCGGCGUGCUUAACACAUGCAAGUCGAACGGAAAGGCCCUGCUUUUGUGGGGUGCUCGAGUGGCGAACGGGUGAGUAACACGUGAGUAACCUGCCCUUGACUUUGGGGUAACUUCAGGAAACUGGGGCUAAUACCGGAUAGGAGCUCCUGCUGCAUGGUGGGGGUUGGAAAGUUUCGGCGGUUGGGGAUGGACUCGCGGCUUAUCAGCUUGUUGGUGGGGUAGUGGCUUACCAAGGCUUUGACGGGUAGCCGGCCUGAGAGGGUGACCGGCCACAUUGGGACUGAGAUACGGCCCAGACUCCUACGGGAGGCAGCAGUGGGGAAUAUUGCACAAUGGGCGGAAGCCUGAUGCAGCAACGCCGCGUGCGGGAUGACGGCCUUCGGGUCGUAAACCGCUUUCGCCUGUGACGAAGCGUGAGUGACGGUAAUGGGUAAAGAAGCACCGGCUAACUACGUG